This 497-nucleotide ribosomal RNA is filed under the name uncultured bacterium. Its description in RNAcentral is "partial 16S ribosomal RNA". It matches the Rfam family "Bacterial small subunit ribosomal RNA", at positions 28 to 507 of the family's 1533-position model. The record is from RNAcentral.
GAUGAACGCUGGCGGCGUGCCUAAUACAUGCAAGUCGAGCGAACAGACGAGGAGCUUGCUCCUCUGACGUUAGCGGCGGACGGGUGAGUAACACGUGGAUAACCUACCUAUAAGACUGGGAUAACUUCGGGAAACCGGAGCUAAUACCGGAUAAUAUAUUGAACCGCAUGGUUCAAUAGUGAAAGACGGUUUUGCUGUCACUUAUAGAUGGAUCCGCGCCGCAUUAGCUAGUUGGUAAGGUAACGGCUUACCAAGGCAACGAUGCGUAGCCGACCUGAGAGGGUGACCGGCCACACUGGAACUGAGACACGGUCCAGACUCCUACGGGAGGCAGCAGUAGGGAAUCUUCCGCAAUGGGCGAAAGCCUGACGGAGCAACGCCGCGUGAGUGAUGAAGGUCUUCGGAUCGUAAAGCUCUGUUAUUAGGGAAGAACAAAUGUGUAAGUAACUAUGCACGUCUUGACGGUACCUAAUCAGAAAGCCCCGGCUAACUACGUG